GUAACAUCCCGAAAAAGAAAAAAAGAGAAAAAAAUCAAAUUAAUCAAAUUAAAUCUUUUCCUAGUUGACUUGGUCACCAAUUAUUCCUUAGUUCAAACUUUAAAUAAAGAUUUUGCAAAGAUUUUCCUCCUCCGUAAUCUGCAAAUAAAUUAAAUUAAUAAAUAUCACAAAAAAAGGGAAAACAAAUCUCUCCCUCCUUCCUCACGUAUUAACCGUUUCCCCCUCUCCAUGAAUCUCUCCCAUAUCUAUCAACCACCUCCUCUCUAUAAUACUCCCUCACAAUCGGUUUUUCUCCUAUUUCGUUUCUCGGCAACAAGGCUGAUCCUUCUCAAUUUCUACUCAAGAAACCGAGAACCCAACUUGAAAGAGAGAGAGUUGGAGAUUUCUGAUCGUCUGAAUUGAGAGAUGAAUCGAGGGAGAGACGGAAGACAAAAACAGCGGCGGACAGCAGCCGUGUGCGACCGUUCAGCGGCGACGGAGAGACCGGGAUGGACGGCGGCAGGUUGCAGCGCUGACUGGACUCGGAGUAGCAGCAGCUGUUCGGUAGUUCCGGGCGGUUUCGGAACAAGGAGAUGGCAGCAACGGUGUUUCUGGCGCCGGUGAUGGCAUUGGCGACAGUCAACGAAAGAGAGAGAAGAGGAGACGGCGGCUGAUGCAACCACACGAGCAGCAGCGCGUCGUAAUAACGGACAGCAGCGCCGCCUUGGAGAAGAGACCAGCAUCGGCUGACCCGGCAGCGACGACGCCGACGGCACUUUGACAGCAGCGGCGCGGAGGAGACGGCAGCGGCGGCGAAUUGUCAGAGAGAGAGCGAACAGCGACAAACGCCCCCGUGUGGAAGAGCUGCUCGACAGAGAGCUGUAGAAGAGUUAGAGAGAGAGAUGACAGCGUGUGCUUGAUUUGAGAAGAUGAUUUCAAUUCCAUUAUGGAAUUUCACGUAAGGCCCACUGUUUUUGAUAAAGGAGAUGGCUUGGAGUCACGCUUUUCGAGAACGGGAUGGAACACAAGUUAAGGCUUUAAACGAACGAGAUUGAACGGUGAUGAGUGCGGUGGGUGUUGAGCAUGAAAGUGAAG
Molecule: long non-coding RNA, 1074 nt
Organism: Salvia splendens (bonfire salvia)
Lineage: Eukaryota; Viridiplantae; Streptophyta; Magnoliopsida; Lamiales; Lamiaceae
Exons: 3
Source: RefSeq, a predicted model, not a curated record